Molecule: ribosomal RNA, 483 nt
Filed under: uncultured bacterium
Lineage: Bacteria
Description: SSU rRNA
Rfam family: Bacterial small subunit ribosomal RNA
Source: RNAcentral
AGGACGAACGCUGGCGGCGUGCUUAACACAUGCAAGUCGAACGGUAAGGCCCCUUCGGGGGUACACGAGUGGCGAACGGGUGAGUAACACGUGAGCAACCUGCCCUUGACUCUGGAAUAACAGUUGGAAACAGCUGCUAAUACCGGAUAUGACUGACGGCGUCAUCGUCGUUGGUGGAAAGCCUUGGCGGUCAAGGAUGGGCUCGCGGCCUAUCAGCUUGUUGGUGAGGUAACGGCUCACCAAGGCUUCGACGGGUAGCCGGCCUGAGAGGGCGACCGGCCACACUGGGACUGAGAUACGGCCCAGACUCCUACGGGAGGCAGCAGUGGGGGAAUAUUGCACAAUGGGCGAAAGCCUGAUGCAGCAACGCCGCGUGCGGGAUGACGGCCUUCGGGUUGUAACCGCUUUCAGUAGGGACGAAGCGAAAGUGACGGUACCUACAGAAGAAGGACCGGCGUAACUACGUGCCAGCAGCCGCGGUAA